GAACUUAAGCAUAUCAAUGAGCGGAGGAAAAGAAACCAACAGGGAUUGCCUUAGUAACUGCGAGUGAAGCGGCAAAAGCUCAAAUUUGAAAUCUGGCGUCUUUGGCGUCCGAAUUGUAAUUUGGAGAGGCAACUUCGGAGAUGGUGCUGUCCUAAGUUCCUUGGAACAGGAUGACAUAGAGGGUGAGAUCCCCGUGCCUGGAUGGCUGUCCAUCUUCAUGUGAAUUGCCUUCGAAGAGUCGAGUUGUUUGGGAAUGCAGCUCAAAAUGGGUGGUAAAUUUCAUCUAAAGCUAAAUAUUGGCGAGAGACCGAUAGCGCACAAGUAGAGUGAUCGAAAGAUGAAAAGCACUUUGAAAAGAGAGUUAAAAAGUACGUGAAAUUGUUGAAAGGGAAGCGCUUGAGACCAGACUCGAUUCGUGGUGAUCAGCUGUGCUUCUGUACGGUGCACUCGCCAUGGAUUGGGCCAGCAUCGGUUCUGACGGUGGGAUAAAAGGUUGAGGAAUGUGUCUUCCUUCGGGGAGUGUUAUAGCCUCACUCACAAUGCCACCAGCUGGGACCGAGGACCGCGCUUCGGCUAGGAUGCUGGCGUAAUGGUCUUAAGCGACCCGUCUUGAAACACGGACCAAGGAGUCUAACAUCUAUGCGAGUGUUCGGGUGGAAAACCCUUGCGCGUAAUGAAAGUGAACGGAGGUGGGAACCCGCAAGGGUGCACCAUCGACCGAUCCCGAUGUCUUCGGAAGGAUUUGAGUAAGAGCAUAGCUGUUGGGACCCGAAA
RNAcentral lists this ribosomal RNA (774 nucleotides) under uncultured fungus. RNAcentral describes it as "eukaryotic LSU rRNA". It matches the Rfam family "Eukaryotic large subunit ribosomal RNA", at positions 30 to 821 of the family's 3401-position model. The record is from RNAcentral. Lineage: Eukaryota; Fungi.